GUCCCCGUCGUCUAGCCAGGUCCAGGACACCGGGUUUUCAUCCCGGCAACACGGGUUCGAAUCCCGUCGGGGGUA
RNAcentral lists this transfer RNA (75 nucleotides) under Myxococcales bacterium. RNAcentral describes it as "tRNA-Glu". It matches the Rfam family "tRNA". Rfam says of the family: Transfer RNA (tRNA) molecules are approximately 80 nucleotides in length. Their secondary structure includes four short double-helical elements and three loops (D, anti-codon, and T loops). Lineage: Bacteria; Pseudomonadati; Myxococcota; Myxococcia; Myxococcales. The record is from RNAcentral.